UACGGGGGGGGCAAGCGUUGUUCGGAAUUACUGGGCGUAAAGGGCGCGUAGGCGGCCUGUUAAGUCGAACGUGAAAUCCCCGGGCUCAACCCGGGAACUGCGUCCGAUACUGGCAGGCUUGAAUUCGGGAGAGGGAUGCGGAAUUCCAGGUGUAGCGGUGGAAUGCGUAGAGAUCCGGAAGAACACCGGUGGCGAAGGCGGCCCGCUGGGCUGUGGCUGACGCUGAGGCGCGACAGCGUGGGGAGCAAACAGG
Molecule: ribosomal RNA, 253 nt
Filed under: uncultured bacterium
Lineage: Bacteria
Description: partial 16S ribosomal RNA
Rfam family: Bacterial small subunit ribosomal RNA
Source: RNAcentral